CCCCUCCCAGGAUGGCACCUGGAGAGUUUCCAGUACACUACCAGUCUCGGCUAUGGGAAGGAGAGUCAAGCAGAGGCCUACCCAUUCCAUUCCUAGCUUGGCCAGUGGCUAGCGAGUGGAAGACAGUCUACUACAUCA
This is a small nucleolar RNA of Tachyglossus aculeatus (Australian echidna), 138 nucleotides long. Lineage: Eukaryota; Metazoa; Chordata; Mammalia; Monotremata; Tachyglossidae. The record is from RefSeq and is a predicted model, not a curated record.